RNAcentral lists this ribosomal RNA (495 nucleotides) under uncultured bacterium. RNAcentral's name for it is "partial 16S ribosomal RNA". It matches the Rfam family "Bacterial small subunit ribosomal RNA", at positions 28 to 507 of the family's 1533-position model. The record is from RNAcentral.
GACGAACGCUGGCGGCGUGCCUAAUACAUGCAAGUAGAACGCUGAAGGAGGAGCUUGCUUCUCCGGAUGAGUUGCGAACGGGUGAGUAACGCGUAGGUAACCUGCCUGGUAGCGGGGGAUAACUAUUGGAAACGAUAGCUAAUACCGCAUAACAGUAGAUGUUGCAUGACAUUUGCUUAAAAGGUGCAAUUGCAUCACUACCAGAUGGACCUGCGUUGUAUUAGCUAGUUGGUGAGGUAACGGCUCACCAAGGCGACGAUACAUAGCCGACCUGAGAGGGUGAUCGGCCACACUGGGACUGGGACACGGCCCAGACUCCUACGGGAGGCAGCAGUAGGGAAUCUUCGGCAAUGGACGGAAGUCUGAACGAGCAACGCCGCGUGAGUGAAGAAGGUUUUCGGAUCGUAAAGCUCUGUUGUAAGAGAAGAACGAGUGUGAGAGUGGAAAGUUCACACUGUGACGGUAUCUUACCAGAAAGAGACGGCUAACUACGUG